CUCGGAGCGCAGGGAGGCCACUGCCGGGCCGCACGUGGAGGGAGCCUACCACGCAUGCGCGCUCCCGCCACGCUUCCCUUCGCCGCUUGGGGAACGGGCCUCCUGCGGGUCCUAAUUUCAUCCUGAAGGCAGCUCCGGCUUCUGUCUGAAGAUCUCCGAUGGGUAGAAAGGGUGGCCGACUUUCUCCGGUCAUCUCACAAGCUGGAGUUUGCCUCGGGGAGAGUUAAUAGUUGGCUUGUGGUAAGCGCUCAAAUUGUUGUCAAGUCCUACGUGAAGCAGGGCCGGGAUCAGGAUGAAUCAUGCAAGUGCUGAGUGGAUCCUGUCUUUAGGAAACCAGAAGACCCAAGGGGAAAGUGGUAAAUCUGGGAGACACAGGCUUGCAUUGGGCCAUGUGCUCAGUGACGAUGACCGCUGAAUGACUGCUGAAUGAACGCGUCUUGCUGUAUUCUUGAGUCGCUUAGGUCACUAAAAGGGGCAUUCAUCAGCUGUUCCUGGGAAGGCAGAACAGAAUGGCCUUCAUGAGCAGAACAUUACAGGGGAGACGGAUACUCUUCAAAUUAAAAUUCUCUGAUGUAUUUGAUAACCUUUGGCCAGCUUAAAUUCUUAACUGUCUUUAAUGGUUUUUCUACACCUCCCUUUUAGAGCAAUAAGGUGAGAAAUUAUCAAUAUAAAAUUACUCUGAAAUUUAGCACAUGC
Molecule: long non-coding RNA, 696 nt
Organism: Balaenoptera ricei (Rice's whale)
Lineage: Eukaryota; Metazoa; Chordata; Mammalia; Artiodactyla; Balaenopteridae
Exons: 3
Source: RefSeq, a predicted model, not a curated record